CCUACGGGUGGCAGCAGUGAGGAAUAUUGGUCAAUGGCCGUAAGGCUGAACCAGCCAAGUCGCGUGAAGGAAGAAGGAUCUAUGGUUUGUAAACUUCUUUUAUAGGGGAAUAAAGGUAUCCACGUGUGGAUAUUUGCAUGUACCCUAUGAAUAAGCAUCGGCUAACUCCGUGCCAGCAACCGCGGUAAUACGGAGGAUGCGAGCGUUAUCCGGAUUUAUUGGGUUUAAAGGGUGCGUAGGUUGUUUUUUAAGUCAGCGGUGAAAGUUUGUGGCUCAACCAUAACAUUGCCGUUGAAACUGGAAGACUUGAGUGUGUUUGAGGUAGGCGGAAUGCGUGGUGUAGCGGUGAAAUGCAUAGAUAUCACGCAGAACUCCGAUUGCGAAGGCAGCUUACUAGGCCAUAACUGACACUGAAGCACGAAAGCGUGGGGAGCAAACAGGAUUAGAUACCCCGGUAGUC
This 460-nucleotide ribosomal RNA is filed under the name uncultured bacterium. Its description in RNAcentral is "partial 16S ribosomal RNA". It matches the Rfam family "Bacterial small subunit ribosomal RNA", at positions 338 to 795 of the family's 1533-position model. The record is from RNAcentral.